UGUUCCAUGUAUCGAUGAUCAGAAGUU
RNAcentral lists this non-coding RNA (27 nucleotides) under Rattus norvegicus (Norway rat). Lineage: Eukaryota; Metazoa; Chordata; Mammalia; Rodentia; Muridae. The record is from RNAcentral.